ACGGAGGGUGCAAGCGUUAUUCGGAAUUACUGGGCGUAAAGCGCGUGUAGGCGGUCCUGCAAGUCUGAUGUGAAAGCCCCGGGCUUAACCCGGGAAGUGCAUUGGAAACUGUGGGACUUGAGUACUGGAGAGGAUGGGGGAAUUCCCGGUGAGGAGGUGAAAUUCGGAGAGAUCGGGGGGAAGAGGAGAGGCGAAGGCGCCCAUCCGGGCGGUAACUGACGCUGAGACGCGAAAGCGUGUGGACCAAACAG
Molecule: ribosomal RNA, 251 nt
Filed under: uncultured prokaryote
Description: partial 16S rRNA
Rfam family: Bacterial small subunit ribosomal RNA
Source: RNAcentral